CCUACGGGCGGCAGCAGUGAGGAAUAUUGGUCAAUGGGCGCGCGCCUGAACCAGCCAAGUCGCGUGAGGGAAGACGGUCCUAUGGAUUGUAAACCUCUUUUGUCGGGGAGCAAAAGACGCCACGCGUGGCGUUCCGAGAGUACCCGAAGAAAAAGCAUCGGCUAACCCCGUGCCAGCAGCCGCGGUAAUACGGAGGAUUCGAGCGUUAUCCGGAUUUAUUGGUUUUAAAGGGUGCGCAGGCGGAAGAUCAAGUCAGCGGUAAAAUUGAGAGGCUCAACCUCUUCGAGCCGUUGAAACUGGUGUUCUUGAGUGAGUGAGAAGUAUGCGGAAUGCGUGGUGUAGCGGUGAAAUGCAUAGAUAUCACGCAGAACUCCGAUUGCGAAGGCAGCAUACCGGCGCUCAACUGACGCUCAUGCACGAAAGUGUGGGUAUCGAACAGGAUUAGAUACCCUGGUAGUC
This 459-nucleotide ribosomal RNA is filed under the name uncultured bacterium. Its description in RNAcentral is "partial 16S ribosomal RNA". It matches the Rfam family "Bacterial small subunit ribosomal RNA", at positions 338 to 795 of the family's 1533-position model. The record is from RNAcentral.